This 773-nucleotide ribosomal RNA is filed under the name uncultured Neocallimastigales. Its description in RNAcentral is "partial large subunit ribosomal RNA". It matches the Rfam family "Eukaryotic large subunit ribosomal RNA", at positions 23 to 616 of the family's 3401-position model. Lineage: Eukaryota; Fungi; Neocallimastigomycota; Neocallimastigomycetes; Neocallimastigales. The record is from RNAcentral.
AGAGAGAGACAUGCGCGCAUAUCAAUAAGCGGAGGAAAAGAAACUAACAAGGAUUCCCCUAGUAACGGCGAGUGAAGCGGGAAGAGCUCAAAUUUGAAAUCUUAAAGGGUUUCCCUUUACGAAUUGUAGUUUAAAGAAGUGUUUUCUGUUGAGGUUUUGGUAAAAGUUCUUUGGAAUAGGACAUCAUAGAGGGUGAGAAUCCCGUAUUUGACCUUUACUUUCAACUUUGUGAUACACUUUCAAAGAGUCGGAUUGUUUGGGAAUGCAGUCCAAAAUGGGUGGUAAAUUUCAUCUAAAGCUAAAUAUUGGCGAGAGACCGAUAGCGAACAAGUACCGUGAGGGAAAGAUGAAAAGAACUUUGAAAAGAGAGUUAAACAGUACGUGAAAUUGUCAAAAGGGAAGCGUUUGACACCAGUGUUGUUUUUCUGAAAAUCAAUUAAAGAACUGUUUAUGCUAAGUUGUUUAGACUUUAUCAGCUAACUGUUUAGUUUUGAGCUUUUCUUUAAUGCACUUUUCAGUUAACAAGUCAACAUCAAUUUCUUUUGCUGUAAAAAAGCUUGAGGAAGGUGGCUUGAGAUUCGUCUUAAGUGUUUAUAGCCUCUUGCCUAUGCAGUCGGAGAGAUUGAGGUCUGCAGCGUAGAUCCUUCGGGGCUAAAUGCAUUUGUGCUAAGUUAUAGCAUUUUAUAGACAACUUGUUGACUAUGAUUUGUCUUGUAGCUUACUCGCUUAUGUAUUUUACCUACGCUUAGGAUGUUGAGCGCAUGUCUCUCUCU